This is an RNA transcript of Populus nigra (black poplar), 1680 nucleotides long. It is a transcript of the gene named GDSL esterase/lipase At4g10955-like, with no coding region annotated. The transcript is spliced from 4 exons. The record is from RefSeq and is a predicted model, not a curated record. NCBI's taxonomy places the organism in Eukaryota, Viridiplantae, Streptophyta, Magnoliopsida, Malpighiales, Salicaceae.
GAAAAAAAGGAAAAUCAUUAGAAGAAUUUGAAUUAUAUAGGAGCAUUAGCGAUAGAAAUUGAAUCGAAGAGAGGAGGGAUGGAGAGGGAGAAUCAGAUACCAUGUAAGCAAAGCUAACUAGCUAAAAAGAUGAGAAAGAAAGCCACUGCAGCUCAAGCAUCUCCUUUUCAACCUCGGCAAAAACCACAAACAGUUCCCUUCUCUCUCAAACUCUGUCUGUGACUCGAGAAACCAAACAUUACAAAGAAGAAGAGAAGAUAUAAAGCGAAAAUGGCGAACAGUAGUGGUGAAGUACAAGAGGGGCAGACAGUGGUGGUUCAAGAAGAAGAAGCGCACCCAUAUGCAUUUCAUGUUUCCGGGCCUCGAAAUGUGGCCUCUCCUAAUUGGAGAGACCUUAUCAAUUCUAGCUGGAAGAAUGAGAACCACAAGCGAACAGUAUUCUCCUGCUUCAUUCAAGCAGUUUACUUGCUUGAAACUGACAGACAAGAGAACAGAACUGAGGAAAAUGCACUUGCUCCAAAUUGGUGGCGAAGCUUCAAAUACAAAUUGACCCAAACCUUAGUUGAUGAAAGAGAUGGAUCUAUAUUUGGUGCAGUACUAGAAUGGGAUCGAGCUGCAGCAUUAGCUGACAUGGUUCUUAUUAGACCUAGUGGAGCACCAAAGGCUGUUUUAGCACUUCGAGGAACAUUACUCAAAGGCCCCACAAUCCUGAGGGAUAUUGAAGAUGACCUCCGUUUUCUAGCCUGGGAAAGUUUGAAAGGUUCUGUCAGAUUCAAAGUAGCACUGGAGGCAUUAAGAUCAGUUGCUGAAAUGUAUGGAAGCAGGAACGUAUGUGUAGCUGGUCAUUCCUUGGGGGCUGGUUUUGCUCUCCAGGUGGGAAAAGCAUUAGCUAAAGAAGGUAUGUAUGUGGAGGCCCAUUUAUUUAACCCGCCUUCUGUUUCUAUGGCAAUGAGCUUAAGAAACAUAGGAGAAAGGGCUGGGUUUGCUUGGAAUAGAUUUAAGUCAAUGCUUCCUUCUAGUAGUGAAACUCAGGCCACCAGUGACGGGGGGGAGACGGCUAAUACUGUAGGAUUGAGGAGCUGGAUACCUCUUUCAGGUUAUAAAACUUCUAUGGGAUUAAAAAAUUGGGUGCCUAAUUUGUAUGUGAACAAUAGUGACUAUAUCUGUUGCUCCUACACCGACCCAGAUGGAACUGAAAAUAAACAAGCUGACAAGGAGAAUGCAGGUCCUGGAAAUGGGCAAGUUGCAGCGAAACUGUUUGUGAUGUCCAAAGGAAAACAGAAGUUUCUUGAGGCUCAUGGAUUGGAGCAAUGGUGGUCUGAUGAUGUGCAGCUUCAACAGGCUCUGCAUAACAGCAAGCUCAUGAGCAGGCAGCUGAAAUCGCUGUAUACUUUCCCAGCUUCACAACCAACACAGCGAACCCCACAAUGACAUAAGGAGAGACCGUUAGGGUGAAUCAACGAGCUGGUGGAGCCGUUCAUAAUUAGAUUGCAGGUACCUUAUAGACUCACUAGGAGUGAUCAAUAUUUAUUAUUUUUGUAUAUAUAUAGGCAAAUAUGGCCUAUUAUGUUGUAAUAUCAAGUUUGUGGAUUGUAAUUUGAGACACUUUAUAUUGUUAUGUAACUAAGAUGUUAUCAGAUUAAAUUAGCAAUUAUCAAUGACUAGUUAUGGUGAUGUAAA